Molecule: small nucleolar RNA, 127 nt
Filed under: Caenorhabditis remanei
Lineage: Eukaryota; Metazoa; Nematoda; Chromadorea; Rhabditida; Rhabditidae
Description: Caenorhabditis snoRNA ceN110
Rfam family: Caenorhabditis snoRNA ceN110
Source: Rfam by way of RNAcentral
AUGCAAGUGUCCAUUACGCGGAGGCUUGUGCCUCAUGACGUUUAGUUUAGCUUGCGAGAUGAAACUGACAUCUCGAAGACAGGCGCAUCGUUCUUGUAGAGCUCCUGUUCAAGAUUGGCAGACAAUC